This 269-nucleotide ribosomal RNA is filed under the name uncultured eukaryote. Its description in RNAcentral is "partial large subunit ribosomal RNA". It matches the Rfam family "Eukaryotic large subunit ribosomal RNA", at positions 40 to 300 of the family's 3401-position model. The record is from RNAcentral.
AUAUUAAUAAGCCCAGGAAAAGAAACUAACUAGGAUUCCCUUAGUAAUGGCGAAUGAAACGGGAAAAGCUCAGGUUUAAAAUCUAAUAGUAUUUCACUGUUAGAGUUGUAGUCUUUUAAGUAGUCUUCAGAGUAUUUGCUAGUAUAAGUGUUUUGGAAUAUACCGCCUAAGAGGGUGAUAGCCCCGUAAUAUGACUAGUAACUAAUAUUCUUCUAUGUUGAUUAUUUAUAGAGUCGGGUUGUUUGGGAAUGCAGCCUUAAGUAGGUGGU